This 253-nucleotide ribosomal RNA is filed under the name uncultured bacterium. RNAcentral's name for it is "partial 16S ribosomal RNA". It matches the Rfam family "Bacterial small subunit ribosomal RNA", at positions 524 to 776 of the family's 1533-position model. The record is from RNAcentral.
UACGUAGGGUGCAGGCGUUAAUCGGAAUUACUGGGCGUAAAGCGUGCGCAGGCGGUCUUUUAAGUCAGAUGUGAAAUCCCCGGGCUUAACCUAGGAACUGCGUUUGAAACUGGAAGGCUAGAGUGUGGCAGAGGGGGGUGGAAUUCCACGUGUAGCAGUGAAAUGCGUAGAGAUGUGGAGGAACACCGAUGGCGAAGGCAGCCCCCUGGGUCAAGAUUGACGCUCAUGCACGAAAGCGUGGGGAGCAAACAGG